GAAAAUUUUCUGAAAGAUAAUAUUCUGAUAUCUCAGAUGAUUUAUUUGUAAUAAAUAUUAUUUUAGCUCUUUCAACAGUGAUUUUGUAGAAUUGCAGUUUGAUUAUGUCGAAGGGAUUUCCAUUCUGGAUUUAGAUGUCUCUUCUGACUUAUCGUAAGGGAGAGUCGUCGUUGGUUCUGGGAUGGACGAGCGAUAACGACUUAAAAAGGGGCAAUUUUCGAAAGUUUGAUGGCAUAAAAUGGUGUGGCACAAUUAAGGAAACCCGAACCACAAAUAUGGGAGAACAGGGAUCAACUUGCAGCACCAUCUGGCCCCGGCCGUGUGGUCUGUCAGUCAUGGAGGAGAGCAAGGAGUCGCAAAUUGUUCGGUGCCCUUGAUGGAUGGAUUCGGUUUUACGGAAGACAGCUUUUCCAUCAAUUGAUCCACCAUUUUACAAACUGCAUCCUUCACAUCACAUGAGUGAAAGCUCGCUGGCAAUAUCGCCCUCAUUUAAGACAAACUUUUGUGAUUUUUCUUUACCUUCUCCUCUUACUCUGUCAAUAUUUAUUAUCUUGCUUAAAUUGCAGGCAAAUCUUAUAAGAGGUCUGCUAUCGUCAGAUAAGGACAAAAAGAGAGAUUAAAGGAAUUUGGUAUACUAAAGAUAGUGGUCCAAGUUCUUCUCCUCUACUUGUUAAAUCUCUUUAUGCUGUCACGACAACAAUAGACUUUUAUAUGAGUUACUAAACGUUCAGUAGACUUUAUAUAAGUGGGCU
This 752-nucleotide long non-coding RNA is filed under the name Androctonus crassicauda. Lineage: Eukaryota; Metazoa; Arthropoda; Arachnida; Scorpiones; Buthidae. The record is from RNAcentral.